GGGGCCGUAGCUCAGCUGGGAGAGCGCUAGGUUCGCAAUCUAGAGGUCGUGGGUUCGAUCCCCAUCGGCUCCACCA
This 76-nucleotide transfer RNA is filed under the name Deltaproteobacteria bacterium. RNAcentral's name for it is "tRNA-Ala". It matches the Rfam family "tRNA". Rfam says of the family: Transfer RNA (tRNA) molecules are approximately 80 nucleotides in length. Their secondary structure includes four short double-helical elements and three loops (D, anti-codon, and T loops). Lineage: Bacteria; Pseudomonadati; Myxococcota; Myxococcia. RNAcentral also lists the same sequence under 1 other name. The record is from RNAcentral.